Molecule: ribosomal RNA, 406 nt
Filed under: uncultured bacterium
Lineage: Bacteria
Description: partial 16S ribosomal RNA
Rfam family: Bacterial small subunit ribosomal RNA
Source: RNAcentral
GAUGAACGCUGGCGGCGCGCCUAACACAUGCAAGUCGAACGGAGUGGCGAACGGCUGAGUAACACGUGGGCAACCUGCCCUCCUCUUGGGGAUAGCCUCGGGACACCGGGAUAAUACCCGAUAGAGAGGGAUGGCCCGCGGCCUGUUAGCUUGUGGGUGGGGUAGAGGCCUACCAAGGCAAUGAUGGGUAGAUGGGUUGAGAGACCGACCAGCGAGAUUGGGACUGGGAAACGGCCCAGACUCCAACGUGAGGCAGUAGUGGGGAAUCUUGCACAGUGGGCGAAAGCCUGAUGCAGCGACGCCGCGUGCGGAAAGAAGUCCUUCGGGGUGUAAACCGCUUUCAGCAGGGACGCGGUACCUGCAGAAGAAGCCCCGGCUAACUACGUGCCAGCAGCCGCGGUAAUUC